Molecule: microRNA, 26 nt
Filed under: Monodelphis domestica (gray short-tailed opossum)
Lineage: Eukaryota; Metazoa; Chordata; Mammalia; Didelphimorphia; Didelphidae
Description: mdo-miR-7267-3p
Source: miRBase by way of RNAcentral
CAUCCAGCCAUCCACCCCAGGCCAUC